RNAcentral lists this ribosomal RNA (253 nucleotides) under uncultured bacterium. RNAcentral describes it as "partial 16S ribosomal RNA". It matches the Rfam family "Bacterial small subunit ribosomal RNA", at positions 524 to 776 of the family's 1533-position model. The record is from RNAcentral.
UACAGAGGGUGCGAGCGUUGUUCGGAAUUACUGGGCGUAAAGCGCGUGUAGGCGGUUCAUUAAGUCCGAUGUGAAAUCCCGGGGCCUAACUCCGGAAGUGCAUUUGAAACUGAUGAGCUGGAGUGAGGUAGAGGAUGGCGGAAUACCCAGUGUAGUGGUGAAAUACGUAGAGAUUGGGUAGAACACCGGUGGCGAAGGCGGCCAUCUGGGCAUUAACUGACGCUGAGACGCGAAAGCGUGGGGAGCAAACAGG